CCUACGGGAGGCAGCAGUGAGGAAUAUUGGUCAAUGGGCGGGAGCCUGAACCAGCCAAGCCGCGUGAGGGAAGAAGGUACAGCGUAUCGUAAACCUCUUUUGUCAGGGAACAAAGGCGGGGACUAGUCCCCGGAUGAGGGUACCUGAAGAAAAAGCAUCGGCUAACUCCGUGCCAGCAGCCGCGGUAAUACGGAGGAUGCGAGCGUUAUCCGGAUUUAUUGGGGUUAAAGGGUGCGCAGGCGGCCUGUUAAGUCAGCGGGAAAAGCCCGGGGCUCAACCCCGGCGAGCCGUUGAAACUGGCGGGCUGGAGUUGGAGAGAAGUACGCGGAAUGCGCGGUGUAGCGGUGAAAUGCUUAGAUAUCGCGCAGAACCCCGAUUGCGAAGGCAGCGUACCGGCUCCACACUGACGCUGAGGCACGAAAGCGUGGGUAUCGAACAGGAUUAGAGACCCGAGUAGUC
This 459-nucleotide ribosomal RNA is filed under the name uncultured bacterium. Its description in RNAcentral is "partial 16S ribosomal RNA". It matches the Rfam family "Bacterial small subunit ribosomal RNA", at positions 338 to 795 of the family's 1533-position model. The record is from RNAcentral.